UUUUGAAUAGUGGGAAAUGUUUGGGUCAUUAAGGCGCAACUUCGUUACAUUUUGACCGAAAAGAUUUGACCUUUCUAUAAGGGGCAUAACCCCUAAUUUAUGAUUCUAAAAAGACAAAAUCAGCUUUUACUGUUAAACCAAAGGUCCUAGACCCAUGGGGUCUUCAACAAUGACAUUUGGGACCAAUGACCUUGACAAAGGUCACAAGGUCAAAGGUCAAGGUCAUG
Molecule: long non-coding RNA, 227 nt
Organism: Mytilus californianus (California mussel)
Lineage: Eukaryota; Metazoa; Mollusca; Bivalvia; Mytilida; Mytilidae
Exons: 3
Source: RefSeq, a predicted model, not a curated record